GUAGAGCGAGUUUCUUCAACACCGUGCAGGUGACCCUGACGUCAAGUGCUAACAACACCUGUGGAGGCCUACUCAGCAGCGGCAUCUCACUCGGUUCUCCUUUGACAGAUGAUGAGACUGAGGCUCAGAGAGGCCGCUUGUCCUCUACUGGGUAGAAAGCCAGUAAGGACAGACCCGUGUCUUGUCCACUAUGCGACCCUGUCCCAUUGGGGGUUUCCUGACCACACAGAGGCCUUUGCCCUCACGUGUUAACCACAGCAGCUUUAAUAUAUACACACCAGAACAGCAUUCCACGAGGACAUCUGUACAGGACGAUCAGAACCAUCAGAACCAUCCCUGGCUGUACCACACGCUAAGGCCGUACUGCAUGUCCCAGGGGAAGGUUUCUCUUGCCUGACUCCCUCUCACCUCCCCAGAAGAAAGGAUCUGAUGGAAUAGAGCCUGUCUUGUCU
Molecule: long non-coding RNA, 452 nt
Organism: Myotis davidii
Lineage: Eukaryota; Metazoa; Chordata; Mammalia; Chiroptera; Vespertilionidae
Exons: 3
Source: RefSeq, a predicted model, not a curated record